Molecule: long non-coding RNA, 1350 nt
Organism: Brassica napus (rape)
Lineage: Eukaryota; Viridiplantae; Streptophyta; Magnoliopsida; Brassicales; Brassicaceae
Exons: 2
Source: RefSeq, a predicted model, not a curated record
UACAUUUAUAAAUAAUAAUAUGAAUAGAAUUUAUAAAAUCAUAUGUUAGAAUAAUAAUUAUAUAAAUUUAUACAUUUAAAACUCUAAAUAUAAUUAACAUAUUUGUGAUUUGUUUUGAUUUUAACGAAUAUUUUGGAGUGGAGAUCUGCAUUCCAAAAUUUUAGUAUUUGUGAUUUGUUUCGAUUUUAACAAAAAAAAAAUUUAAUAUAUGAUUUGUUUCGAAAGUUUACGGAUAUCCAAAUUUUUCGGAUCAAAAACGAAUAACGAAUAAGAUCAAAUUUAACGGAUAAAAUGUAUAUCCUAAGUUACACUAUUAUCUAUACAAAAUACUGAUGAUGAUGAACCUGAUGGAGAAGAGUGAAAAUCUCUCUGAAAAGGCUCAGGAUUCGUAUCUAAUAUAACAUGUCACAACCAGACCUGACUAAACCGAAAAAAUAAAACACAUCAAACAGCUUACAUGCAUCAUCAUCAGUAUAUUCGUCUUCUCCAUCAGGUUAGCUGUAUGGAACUGAAUAAAAAAGAAGAGUGAAAAUCUCUCUGAAAAGGCUCAGGAUUCGUAUCUAAUAUAACUGAGCGAGUGCAGUGAUUAGACCCAAGGUGAUUAGACUUCCUAAAGAACACGUCUUGGAAAAAAUGAUAAUUAUCCAGUAAAAAAAGACAACGCGUCACAUUAUAUCAUAUCUUAAGAAAAAUACUAUUGCUCUCUGUAAAUUAGUUACUGGAGAGAAAAAAAAACUUGAGAGAUUACUUGAUCUCAUCAACAAUGGCGGUUCAACCACUUCUCCAAAAUCCAACGCACCUUUCUUCGUCGUAUCUCUUGCUAGCCACAACUCCAAUCCGAUCAUCCCUGAUGCGUUUUUUACCACUCACUUAGACGGUAAUAACGAGUUAACGAAACUGAAGUUGACCUCUGACGCUUGCGACACAACCUGGCAAGUCAAACUGAACGACCGGAGAUUCGCCCACGGUGGGGAGAUUUCUCCAACGCUCACUGUCUUCGAAACGUCGACGUUUUGCUUUUCAGAGAGGACGGGGAAAUGAUCUACCACGUCACACCUUCCGGAAGAAUUUUCUCUCAGAUUCAGGCCCAGUUAGUUUCUACAUCUCAGAAGGUGCAUCCAAAUGGAUCAGUCAGAUGCUCUACCUCGAUGUUGUUCGUUUGUACAUUUAGAUAAUGCAUCUAGAUGAAGCAUCCGGAUGCAGCUGCAUUCGUUUGUUCAUUUUUUUUGAACUUACAUUUGCAUCCAAAUGCAGUUGAUGACAAAAUGACUAAAAUGAACAUGUAUUUAAUUUAUCUAUAUCUUACUCUUAAAUCAUGAUUAUUAUUUAUAUUAAUCCUGUUAAUUUUAA